GCUCUCAUAGUUCAAAGGCAGAACGUAGCAAUGGUAAUGCUAAAAUCCAAGUUCGAUUCUUGGUGGGAGCACCA
Molecule: transfer RNA, 74 nt
Filed under: Acholeplasmataceae bacterium
Lineage: Bacteria; Bacillati; Mycoplasmatota; Mollicutes; Acholeplasmatales; Acholeplasmataceae
Also listed under: 1 other name
Description: tRNA-Thr
Rfam family: tRNA
About the family: Transfer RNA (tRNA) molecules are approximately 80 nucleotides in length. Their secondary structure includes four short double-helical elements and three loops (D, anti-codon, and T loops).
Source: RNAcentral